UUGAACUCAGGUCUUAAAGUUUGUGU
This 26-nucleotide non-coding RNA is filed under the name Cricetulus griseus (Chinese hamster). Lineage: Eukaryota; Metazoa; Chordata; Mammalia; Rodentia; Cricetidae. The record is from RNAcentral.